RNAcentral lists this long non-coding RNA (314 nucleotides) under Elaeis guineensis (African oil palm). RNAcentral's name for it is "long non-coding RNA (EGUI_LNC000294)". The record is from RNAcentral. Lineage: Eukaryota; Viridiplantae; Streptophyta; Magnoliopsida; Arecales; Arecaceae.
CUCCUAACCGGUUGAUCAGAUGUUCCUAUAUAAAAUUUAUUAGAUACUUAUCCUUGGGUGUUUGGUCUGAUGAUGUUAAAAUUUUGUGACAAUUCUUGUAAAGGAAGCAAUAUUGUUUCUUUACGUAUCCUUUGUUUUAUAUCCUCAUCUAGAUCAUGCAUUUGCCCAUUGGGAAGAUAUAUGAACAUCUGGAGGUUGGUAGGAAAUUUGUGAGGGGAAAUAAUAGCAGAUUUUUGAACUCAAUCAUGCUGGUUAAAGAAGAGAUAUAUUUAGUAAUAGAUAUUUCUGGUACAUUGGUGGAUGUAUAUUGUGAC